Molecule: ribosomal RNA, 407 nt
Filed under: Mycobacterium marinum
Lineage: Bacteria; Bacillati; Actinomycetota; Actinomycetes; Mycobacteriales; Mycobacteriaceae
Description: bacterial SSU rRNA
Rfam family: Bacterial small subunit ribosomal RNA
Source: RNAcentral
AGUGGGGAAUAUUGCACAAUGGGCGGAAGCCUGAUGCAGCAACGCCGCGUGAGGGAUGACGGCCUUCGGGUUGUAAACCUCUUUUAGCAGGGAAGAAGCGAAAGUGACGGUACCUGCAGAAAAAGCGCCGGCUAACUACGUGCCAGCAGCCGCGGUAAUACGUAGGGCGCAAGCGUUAUCCGGAAUUAUUGGGCGUAAAGAGCUCGUAGGCGGUUUGUCGCGUCUGCUGUGAAAUCCCGAGGCUCAACCUCGGGUCUGCAGUGGGUACGGGCAGACUAGAGUGCGGUAGGGGAGAUUGGAAUUCCUGGUGUAGCGGUGGAAUGCGCAGAUAUCAGGAGGAACACCGAUGGCGAAGGCAGAUCUCUGGGCCGUUACUGACGCUGAGGAGCGAAAGGGUGGGGAGCAAA